RNAcentral lists this non-coding RNA (148 nucleotides) under Gorilla gorilla gorilla (western lowland gorilla). The record is from Rfam by way of RNAcentral. Lineage: Eukaryota; Metazoa; Chordata; Mammalia; Primates; Hominidae.
GCCGAGUGUGGUGGCGCGCGCCUGUAAUCCCAACUACUUGGGAGGCUGAGGCAGGAGAAUCACUUGAACCCAGGAGUCGGAGGUUGCGGUGAACCAAGAUCACACCACUGAACUACAGCCUGGAUGACAAAGUGAGACUCUGUCUCAA